RNAcentral lists this ribosomal RNA (1470 nucleotides) under uncultured organism. RNAcentral describes it as "SSU rRNA". It matches the Rfam family "Bacterial small subunit ribosomal RNA". The record is from RNAcentral.
GACGAACGCUGGCGGCGUGCCUAAUACAUGCAAGUAGAACGCUGAAGAGAGGAGCUUGCUCUUCUUGGAUGAGUUGCGAACGGGUGAGUAACGCGUAGGUAACCUGCCUUGUAGCGGGGGAUAACUAUUGGAAACGAUAGCUAAUACCGCAUAACAAUGGAUGACACAUGUCAUUUAUUUGAAAGGGGCAAUUGCUCCACUACAAGAUGGACCUGCGUUGUAUUAGCUAGUAGGUGAGGUAAUGGCUCACCUAGGCGACGAUACAUAGCCGACCUGAGAGGGUGAUCGGCCACACUGGGACUGAGACACGGCCCAGACUCCUACGGGAGGCAGCAGUAGGGAAUCUUCGGCAAUGGGGGCAACCCUGACCGAGCAACGCCGCGUGAGUGAAGAAGGUUUUCGGAUCGUAAAGCUCUGUUGUAAGUCAAGAACGGGUGUGAGAGUGGAAAGUUCACACUAUGACGGUAGCUUACCAGAAAGGGACGGCUAACUACGUGCCAGCAGCCGCGGUAAUACGUAGGUCCCGAGCGUUGUCCGGAUUUAUUGGGCGUAAAGCGAGCGCAGGCGGUUUGAUAAGUCUGAAGUUAAAGGCUGUGGCUCAACCAUAGUUCGCUUUGGAAACUGUCAAACUUGAGUGCAGAAGGGGAGAGUGGAAUUCCAUGUGUAGCGGUGAAAUGCGUAGAUAUAUGGAGGAACACCGGUGGCGAAAGCGGCUCUCUGGUCUGUAACUGACGCUGAGGCUCGAAAGCGUGGGGAGCGAACAGGAUUAGAUACCCUGGUAGUCCACGCCGUAAACGAUGAGUGCUAGGUGUUGGAUCCUUUCCGGGAUUCAGUGCCGCAGCUAACGCAUUAAGCACUCCGCCUGGGGAGUACGACCGCAAGGUUGAAACUCAAAGGAAUUGACGGGGGCCCGCACAAGCGGUGGAGCAUGUGGUUUAAUUCGGAGCAACGCGAAGAACCUUACCAGGUCUUGACAUCCCGAUGCUAUUUCUAGAGAUAGAAAGUUACUUCGGUACAUCGGUGACAGGUGGUGCAUGGUUGUCGUCAGCUCGUGUCGUGAGAUGUUGGGUUAAGUCCCGCAACGAGCGCAACCCCUAUUGUUAGUUGCCAUCAUUCAGUUGGGCACUCUAGCGAGACUGCCGGUAAUAAACCGGAGGAAGGUGGGGAUGACGUCAAAUCAUCAUGCCCCUUAUGACCUGGGCUACACACGUGCUACAAUGGUUGGUACAACGAGUUGCGAGUCGGUGACGGCGAGCUAAUCUCUUAAAGCCAAUCUCAGUUCGGAUUGUAGGCUGCAACUCGCCUACAUGAAGUCGGAAUCGCUAGUAAUCGCGGAUCAGCACGCCGCGGUGAAUACGUUCCCGGGCCUUGUACACACCGCCCGUCACACCACGAGAGUUUGUAACACCCGAAGUCGGUGAGGUAACCUUUUGGAGCCAGCCGCCUAAGGUGGGACAGAUGAUUGGGGUG